GGGAGGUAGGGGAGUUGCUGGAGGUAGCGGGAGGUAGGGGAGUUGCUGGAGGUAGCGGGAGGUAGGGGGAGUUGCUGCAGGUAAGGGGAGUUGCUGGAGGUAGCGGGAGGUAGGGGAGUUGCUGGAGGUAGGGGAGUUGCUGGAUGUAGCGGGAGGUAGGGGAGUUGCUGGAGGUAGCGGGAGGUAGGGGGAGUUGCUGGAGGUAAGGGGAGUUGCUGGAGGUAGCGGGAGGUAAGGGGAGUUGCUGGAGGUAGCGGGAGGUAGGGGAGUUGCUGGAGGUAGCGGGAGGUAGCGGGAGUUGCUGGAGGUAGCGGGAGUUGCUGGAGGUAGGGGGAGUUGCUGGAAGUAAGGGGAGUUGCGGGAGGUAGGGGAGUUGUUGGAGGUAAGGGGAGUUGCUGGAGGUAGGAGGCAUUAGGGGAGUUGCUGGAGGUAGCGGGAGGUAGGGGGAGUUGCUGGAGAUAGGAGGAGGUAAGGGGAGUUGCUGGAGAUAGGAGGAGGUAAGGGGAGUUGCUGGAGGUAGGCGAGUUGCUGGAGGUAGGGGGAGUUAGGCGAGUUGCUGGAGGUAGGGGGAGUUUCUGAAGGUAGGGGAAGGUAAGGGAAGUUGCUGGAGGUUGGGGGAGUUUCUGAAGGUAGGGGAAGGUAAGGGAAGUUGCUGGAGGUUGGGGGAGUUUCUGAAGGUAGGGGAAGGUAAGGGAAGUUGCUGGAGGUUGGGGAGUUGCUGGAGUUAGGGGGAGUUGCUGGAGGUUGGGGAGUUAUAAGUAUUAUGUGAGUUACAGUGUUACGGCUGUUCAAGGUAUAAAGGUGUUAAUCUUAUUUUGUGUGUGUGUGUGUGUGUGUGUGUAUUUUAGGUUCUUCUCUGUGGCGGUUGUGAUGGGGAGGAGCUCCAUGCUGUGAUUAUCUGUUAUGCAGAUUAGGCCACGCCCAUCUCUGACAGUCCUCUACAGUAAUCUUAAAUGUUUUCUUAGCCUGAAUGUUUUUUUUUGUUUUGUUUUGUUUUAGUUUUUUAUGUGUUAAUCAGGUGAUGUCCUGCAGUUAUUGAUGUUUAUUUGAUGCGAGGUGUUAGCCUGUGUUUUUGUUUUUUAAUCUAUAUUCUCCAUAUGUUCCUCUCAGACUGUACUCUCUCAUACACACACCAAUAAACAGCACAGUAAACAGUGUGACACACACUAGGCUCUGAGCUGGUUAUUCCCUCACCCCGAGUUUCAGCUGUCUGCACCUGCAGUGUGGAGAAUGUACAGG
Molecule: long non-coding RNA, 1239 nt
Organism: Ictalurus punctatus (channel catfish)
Lineage: Eukaryota; Metazoa; Chordata; Actinopteri; Siluriformes; Ictaluridae
Source: Ensembl